CACGCCGUAAACGAUGGAUACUAGGUGUAGGAGGUAUCGACCCCUUCUGUGCCGGAGUUAACACAAUAAGUAUCCCACCUGGGGAGUACGGCCGCAAGGUUGAAACUCAAAGGAAUUGACGGGGGCCCGCACAAGCAGUGGAGUAUGUGGUUUAAUUCGAAGCAACGCGAAGAACCUUACCAGGACUUGACAUCCCUCGCAAUCCAAGGAAACUUGGAGUUCCUACGGGACGAGGAGACAGGUGG
Molecule: ribosomal RNA, 245 nt
Filed under: uncultured Eubacteriales bacterium
Lineage: Bacteria; Bacillati; Bacillota; Clostridia; Eubacteriales
Description: uncultured Clostridiales bacterium partial 16S ribosomal RNA
Rfam family: Bacterial small subunit ribosomal RNA
Source: RNAcentral